Molecule: non-coding RNA, 480 nt
Organism: Paramisgurnus dabryanus
Lineage: Eukaryota; Metazoa; Chordata; Actinopteri; Cypriniformes; Cobitidae
Source: RefSeq, a predicted model, not a curated record
GCAGAUCGGGAAGAGGGACAGUGCACGUGAGAAGAUUGAGAGUUCAGCAUCUUUAUUUAUUUAGUUAAAGUGUUGCAAGACAUCGAAUUAGAGUUAUUCUGGGUUACAAUGUGCUUACAUAUGCAGUCCUGUUAAGAUGCACCAGCUCUCUUUGUCUGUACGGUGGACAAAGCCAACGUAGCUUUCUCGUGCCUGCAAGCCUUACAGCAUCAGCUUCCUGUCAGGGUGCUCAGAUCGGCCCGUCCUCUGAUGUCUCGCUUCCAAGUGUUUGCUUUGGACUCGGUCAAAGUGUUGGAGCAGAUCACUGUAGUCUAUAUGAGGCUGAGCUGGUCGUUUCUCUUUGACAGAUGACACAUCAUCACUAGGAGGGGAAGAUUUGGUCUGUGAUUCUUCAUCAUCUUCAUCAUCCUCAGGCGUCACAAGCUUCAUCAAGCUAUGAUUACAUGCACUGGCGACCUCUUUUGUACCUGGCAUAUUAAG